UACGUUCCCGGCCUUGUACACACCGCCCGUCACACCACGAAAGUCGGCAAUACCCGAAGCCGGUGGCCUAACCCUUUUGGGAGGGAGCCGUCGAAGGUAGGGUCGAUGAUUGGGGUG
This 117-nucleotide ribosomal RNA is filed under the name uncultured bacterium. RNAcentral describes it as "partial 16S ribosomal RNA". It matches the Rfam family "Bacterial small subunit ribosomal RNA", at positions 1367 to 1482 of the family's 1533-position model. The record is from RNAcentral.